UUUGCAUUUCACUUAUACCCGCUGCAAGACAAAGAAAGCUGCCUCACACUUCAAAGACAAGAAGCGAGAUGAUAAGUUUCGCCCUAGUUUCUUCCGCCGGUAUUGCCGAGCCACCUGAGUUGGCUUCCCCUGCCCUUCAGGGAGGGGAAGGGAACACCGUUUUAGUUCUCCGAAUGGGUGAGGAGGUUAGCUCUCCCUCUUCCUUGAGGUCGGGGUGUAUAUGUUUGGUUUGCUAUUUUGUGCAGAUGGGGAGAAAGGAGAGAGCAACUUUAGAAACCUGUAAUAGGGUGUGAUCUGGUGGGCUGGUAGUGGUGCUGUCAUGGGGAGAGGGUGGUUUGCAAAGUAGUUGGCUGGCAGGAGACGAAAAAUGGCCGACCCAAGGCUGCAAAGACUGAAACUCCUUGAACCAAUGCGGUUUAGCUAUUGUCUUCUUAGCAUUUGCUGCUGUUUGGUCAGAUCUGGUAGCCUUGGUCUAGCGGCGAUUGGGAUUUCUCGGAUGCUUUAGAUGUCCUUCUAGCUCUGGGUUGUUGUGUUUUGAGUUUUCUCAAUUACUACUUUUGCUCCAACUAGGGUUUUGUGCUAAAAGGUGACUGUUGCCUUGCUGUGCUGGUGGGAAGGGUCCUAAUGGGAGAUUCAACAAAGUUCCAAUUGUGUUUUGCAGGGGUUUGGUUGCUUAUGAGCCUUGAAAUUCCGGCAAUGCUGCUUGGUUCUCGUGUAAAUAUGGGCUUGGGUAGUUUUUUUUUUAUUUUUAUUAUUGGUGGGUCUCGCUCUGAAUUGGGUUUCUAUUGGAGCUGGAUUUAAAACUUGAUUAUAUCAAUUUCAUGUAAUUCUGUCCUAUGGGUCUUGAUAAUGCAAUUCUAUAUUUGCAUGUUCGAAGGAAAAAAAAAAAAAAG
Molecule: unclassified non-coding RNA, 893 nt
Filed under: Hevea brasiliensis (rubber tree)
Lineage: Eukaryota; Viridiplantae; Streptophyta; Magnoliopsida; Malpighiales; Euphorbiaceae
Source: RNAcentral